GACAUUUCUCGAGAUGACUCCAUUUGUUGGCUGUUAUGCUUUCGGGGCUUUAUCCUUAUCCAUAAACUCCUUUUGAUGGGGAAAACAUUAUGGCAUUACCUGGCACCCAAAAGUAUUGCAAAUACGAGAUGUUUGAAAGUCUGAUUGAUAAUUAUCUGUCACUAGAUGGUGCAUUGGUAUUUCUCAUAUCUUUAAGAAAAUCUGAAUCAGUGGCACAAAAACUAUUGCACAUAAUCCAACUUAAAAAUCUCUCCUGUUUCUCACCAUCAGUAGACAUGAUUUCUUAAAUUGGAAUGUCAUUUUGAUUUGUUUACCUUCUUUUUCUUACACAUUGGGCAAGUGACUGUUGGGUUUGUUUCUUUAGCUUGUUGCUUCAUCACCUCCUGUAAUGCCUUUGCGCCUCCAUGAUGACACUGGGGAACCAAAUUCAGUCUGGAACUGGUUAGAGCGCUGGUCAGC
This 459-nucleotide long non-coding RNA is filed under the name Gossypium barbadense (sea-island cotton). RNAcentral's name for it is "long non-coding RNA (GBAR_LNC020474)". The record is from RNAcentral. Lineage: Eukaryota; Viridiplantae; Streptophyta; Magnoliopsida; Malvales; Malvaceae.